CCCCACUACUCCUACGGGAGGCAGCAGUGGGGAAUAUUGCACAAUGGGCGCAAGCCUGAUGCAGCGACGCCGCGUGAGGGAUGACGGCCUUCGGGUUGUAAACCUCUUUCAGUAGGGAAGAAGCGAAAGUGACGGUACCUGCAGAAGAAGCGCCGGCUAACUACGUGCCAGCAGCCGCGGUAAUACGUAGGGCGCAAGCGUUAUCCGGAAUUAUUGGGCGUAAAGAGCUCGUAGGCGGUUUGUCGCGUCUGCCGUGAAAGUCCGGGGCUCAACUCCGGAUCUGCGGUGGGUACGGGCAGACUAGAGUGAUGUAGGGGAGACUGGAAUUCCUGGUGUAGCGGUGAAAUGCGCAGAUAUCAGGAGGAACACCGAUGGCGAAGGCAGGUCUCUGGGCAUUAACUGACGCUGAGGAGCGAAAGCAUGGGGAGCGAACAGGAUUAGAUACCCUGGUAGUCCAUGCCGUAAACGUUGGGCACUAGGUGUGGGGGACAUUCCACGUUUUCCGCGCCGUAGCUAACGCAUUAAGUGCCCCGCCUGGGGAGUACGGCCGCAAGGCUAAAACUCAAAGGAAUUGACGGGGGCCCGCACAAGCGGCGGAGCAUGCGGAUUAAUUCGAUGCAACGCGAAGAACCUUACCAAGGCUUGACAUGAACCGGUAAUACCGGAGACCAGGUGC
Molecule: ribosomal RNA, 676 nt
Filed under: Arthrobacter sp.
Lineage: Bacteria; Bacillati; Actinomycetota; Actinomycetes; Micrococcales; Micrococcaceae
Description: bacterial SSU rRNA
Rfam family: Bacterial small subunit ribosomal RNA
Source: RNAcentral